Molecule: long non-coding RNA, 220 nt
Filed under: Elaeis guineensis (African oil palm)
Lineage: Eukaryota; Viridiplantae; Streptophyta; Magnoliopsida; Arecales; Arecaceae
Description: long non-coding RNA (EGUI_LNC035014)
Source: RNAcentral
CAAGUAUGCUUCUGACCAACCCAAUUAGUUAUAGUUUGAUUAGAUCGAUUAACAACUACAUAUUAUCAAUCAACUUAAGACUUAAUAUGGCUCAGUGGUUUGAGUCAGGGUCAAUAGGCUAACCUGAUCGAUUCUAAUCAACCAAUUUGGUAUCUAAGGUAAGUACUUAGAUGAUGAUUUUUUAAUUGAUUUUGUUGUCUGAUCUGGAUAAUUUAUUGGC